This 457-nucleotide ribosomal RNA is filed under the name uncultured bacterium. RNAcentral describes it as "partial 16S ribosomal RNA". It matches the Rfam family "Bacterial small subunit ribosomal RNA", at positions 338 to 795 of the family's 1533-position model. The record is from RNAcentral.
CCUACGGGCGGCAGCAGUGGGGAAUAUUGCACAAUGGGGGAAACCCUGAUGCAGCGACGCCGCGUGAGUGAAGAAGGAUUUCGGUAUCUUAAGCUCUAUCAGCAGGGAAGCAAUAAAGUCCUUCGGACUUUGGACGGUACCUGACUAAGAAGCCGCGGCUAACUACGGGCCAGCAGCCGCGGUAAUACGUAGGGGGCAAGUGUUAUCCGGAUUUACUGGGUGUAAAGGGGGCGUAGACGGCAGCGCAAGACGGGAGUGAAAUCCCAUGGCUUAACCAUGGAACUGCUGUGGAAACUGUGCGGCUGGAGUGCAGGAGAGGUAAGCGGAAUUCCUAGUGUAGCGGUGAAAUGCGUAGAUAUUAGGAGGAACACCAGUGGCGAAGGCGGCUUACUGGACUGUAACUGACGUUGAGGCUCGAAAGCGUGGGGAGCAAACAGGAUUAGAUACCCCAGUAGUC